Molecule: long non-coding RNA, 254 nt
Organism: Macrosteles quadrilineatus (aster leafhopper)
Lineage: Eukaryota; Metazoa; Arthropoda; Insecta; Hemiptera; Cicadellidae
Exons: 2
Source: RefSeq, a predicted model, not a curated record
AGUGCCAAAAUUUGUGUUUAACCUUAACCAUUAUAGUCAAUGCCUUAACCUAGUCUACAGAUAAAAACAGGCCAAACCAUUAGUUUACGUAUAAAAGUAAAAUAGUAAGAAAUAAAAGUUUGAUAACAAUUUUAAAAACAAAGAUCUUCUGAAGCAGGCGGUGGAGUUGAUGGGUUCAGAAAAGAAGUUGAAGGUGAAGUGGAAGAUAGUGGGCAUUGUAUUUAUUAUAUUAAUAAAUUGUCUUGAAAUGUGAA